CAGUAGACUGCGGUUUCUCGUCGGAUUGUAUUUUAUGUAGCUAACGUACGCGGGCUGUUAAACUUAGCUCGGCGCUGUCUGGCGUUAGCAGUUGUUUGUUUAGUAAUACUUGUCUUUCGUGAUGCCUGCUGAAAACCUAAGAUGGGAAACUUUACAGGCCCUAAAAAAUUCACCAAAGGGAAACAUAACAUUCGACCCGUUUUGGUCGGAAAGGGGCGAGCAUAUUUUGGCAGGUUGCAAAGAGGCUGUCAGCUUGUCUCCACACUCUGGGCUCAUACUGGAACGACUCAGGUCUUCACCCCUGCAGAAGUCCUGCUUUCUGGGCUCCAGCUCUGGAAACUCCAGCCCUGGCUUGUUUGAUGACAACCAAGCUUCUCUUUCCUCUAGAGAAUCCUUCCCUGAUGUGGACACAAAACACAAAGUGCUCUCCACAGCACCAGAGAGUGGUCAGGUUGUUGGCAAUGCUACAAAAGAUGAAGAUCCAGAGACCGACAUCAGUGACGUUUCCAGUCCUGCAUCACUACCUGCCAUCUCUUUGCUCUCGCCCAAAGCUAUGGAGACAGCUGGGCGUAUCAUCAGGUUUGAAGAGGAACAAAGAGCAAAGGCCAAGAUGGCACUAAAACUGCGACAAGAAAUGCAGGAGAAGCUGAUGGUUGCAGUGGCCGACUCAGAGUCAGAACAGCUCAAGCGUUUUGAGGAAUUCAUGGAACUGAAGCAGCGGCAGGAGUACCAAAGUAUGAGGGACAUGAUGGACAGAGAAACUAAAGAAAGCAUUGGGCGUCAGGAGAAGCUAAAGGAAGAGCAGCGACACAGAAUGAAGAUCAUCAACCUGCGGCUGAGGGAGGCAGAGCAGCAGCGAGUAAGGGAGGCAGAGCUCGAGCGGCAGCGGCAGGCGGAGGGCAGGGAGAGGAUACGUAACCUCAACACCGUACAGGAGGAGAUCCUGCAGCUGAACCAGCUGAUGGAGCCCUCCACCAAAACGGACCUCCCAGCAACCAGUCUCAACUCCUACAGCACUCGUGGGAACCAGCUGUGCUCUCAGGUGUCAGAGGUGGUUCGCAAGACAUCAGAGGGAGCGUUUCCGAGUGUGGAGGACAUGACAGCAGCAGAGCGAGCCCUCCACGAAAUGAGGGCGCUGAUCCGGCUGAUGCAGGAUGAGGUGGCCAAGGCUCAGGAGAAGAAGAAGAAGGACCAGGAGGAGGAAGAGGCACGCAGGAAGCAGGCAGAGCUGCAAGCGCAGCAGGAAGCCCAGCAGAAGGCGGCGCAGUCGGCCAAGGAGAGGGCACAGAAGAAAGGUCUGCAGAACAGUGCUGAAGACAGCACAUUGAAAUGGUACAAGGAGCUGCAGGAUUCAGCUGCUCAGUGCACUCAGUCAUUUGAGCAACUCAACUCCCCGAAAGACGUUCAGACAAAGAAGGUGAAGCUGGAGCUACAGAAGGCUGCCACCAUCCCUGUCAGUCAAAUCUCCAGCAACUCUGGAUCGCAGCUCAGAGAGAUCUUUGACAAGAUCGACAAGCUACUCUCUGGUCAACCCAUGGUGUCGGGCGGGAGGUCUGUGUCCACCUUGCAGCAUCCUCAGGGCCUGGACUUCGUGGCCUAUAAACUGGCUGAGAAGUUUGUGAAACAAGGAGAGGAGGAGGUGGCGUCUCAUCAUGAAGCAGCCUUUCCCAUUGCUGCAGUGGCCUCUGGUGUCUGGGAGCGGCACCCUCGGGUGGGAGACCUUAUCCUUGCCCACCUGCACAAGAAGUGCCCCUACGCAGUCCCACAUUACCCCCCGAUGAAGGAUGGCACACCUGUGGAGGAGUAUCAGAGGAUCCUCGGCUAUCGUGUGGAUGACUCCGGAGUCGAAGGUCAGGACAGUUUCCUGAAGAGGAUGUCGGGGAUGAUCCGUCUGUACGCUGCGAUCAUCCAGCUGAGGUGGCCCUUCAGCUCCAAACAGGGGUCAGUUCCUCACGGUCUGCACCACGGCUGGCGCUGGUUGGCUCAGAUGCUCAACAUGGAGCCGCUGGCCGACAUCACAGCUACAUUGCUGUUUGACUUUCUGGAGGUUUGUGGAAACGCUUUGAUGAAGCAAUAUCAGGGACAGUUCUGGAAACUCAUCCUGCUGCUGAAAGAGGAGUACUUCCCCAGGAUCGAAGCGGUGACCAGCAGCGGACAGAUGGGCUCCGUCAUCAGGCUCAGGCAGUUUCUGGAGACGUCAUUGCAGAGCCGACAGAUCUCUCCACCCAAAGGCCAGCUAAGUUCCACAUUCUGGAGGUCGUGAUGGAGGAGCGGCCAGGAUGGGUGUCACUGUCCGCUCUGAUGCUGGGCAAUGUCCUGUGUGUCUGAAUGGAGGCAGCUGGGAAGCUCUAUGCAGACUGAACUCAAGAAGUGGACUGAUGAUGAUGAUCAUUAUGAUGCACCACAUUACAGCUACACCCUUAGUUUAUGACAGGGGCUGUGGAACAAGUUGAGUAUAGAAAUAAAUUUAUUUAAAGGGUGAGGGGAGCAGCUCCCCACACCUCCAUCCUCCCAGCUUCCUUUAGACCCCAGAGACUUGAUUGUCAGGUGCCACAAAGAGGCAGAUUCUGAAAAAAGGAAAUAAGGUUGACUUCUUUAUCUACUGCACCUCUGUGGCCCCACAGACGCUAAGAUCACUACCAAACAAUGUGACAGAACACUGGUCAUCCUUUAGUUGGGUUCUGUCCCUGAUCCCACGUCUCAGUGGACCCGGAGCUUCCUGACUGACAGGAGGCAGCAGGUGAGGCUGGGCAGCGUCACAUCAUCACCACCGGCACCGCAGGGGUGCGUCCUCUCCCCACUGCUCUUCUCCCUGUACACUAAUGACUGCACCUCAGGGAACCCGUCUAUGCAGACGACAUGACCGUCGUUGGGCUCCAGGACGGUGAUGAGUCUGCAUAGAAACAGGAGGUGGAGCAGCUGGUCCAGUGGUGCAGUCAGAACCAGCUGGAGCUCAACACGCUCAAGACUGUGAGGAUGACGGUGAAGAAGCGCCUGCCCCCCUCACCAUCCACAACAACAGUGUCCACCGUGGACUCAUUCAGGUUCCUCGGGUCCACGAGCUCCCAGAACCUGAAGUGCACCUCCAUCACUGUGUGGUUUGGUUCAGCCACCAAACAGGACAGACACAGACUGCAGAGGGGGGUCCGGUCAGCAGAGAAGAUCAUCAGGACCGAGCUUCCUUCCAACCAACACCUGUACCGGGCCAGACUCAGGAACCCGGCAGCAAACCUCACCGCUGACCCCACACACAAACUGUUCAAGCUCCUCCCUCUGGCAGAGCUAUGGCCACCAGAACCACCAGAACCACCAGACAGAGCUGAACUCUCCACUCACAUGGAGCAAGGACUCACUGCAGUGACUGUAUGAGAUAUAGUGUGCUGUAAAUAAUUGUAAUAAAUAUGUAAAUAUUUAAUGUUUAAUACCACCAGAGUACAGAGUCAGACCCUGUUCAAUUCCUUGUUUGUCCUGUGCAAACUUGGCUAAUAAAGCUCCUUCUGAUUCAGUA
Molecule: RNA transcript, 3508 nt
Organism: Betta splendens (Siamese fighting fish)
Lineage: Eukaryota; Metazoa; Chordata; Actinopteri; Anabantiformes; Osphronemidae
Gene: gle1
Gene name: GLE1 RNA export mediator
Exons: 16
Source: RefSeq, a predicted model, not a curated record